UGGCCCAUAUGGGGAUCGAACCCAGGACCUCCGCGUUAUUAGCACGGCGCUCUAACCGACUGAGCUAAUGGGCC
This 74-nucleotide transfer RNA is filed under the name Pomacea canaliculata. Its description in RNAcentral is "tRNA-Ile". Lineage: Eukaryota; Metazoa; Mollusca; Gastropoda; Architaenioglossa; Ampullariidae. The record is from RNAcentral.